Molecule: ribosomal RNA, 451 nt
Filed under: uncultured bacterium
Lineage: Bacteria
Description: partial 16S ribosomal RNA
Rfam family: Bacterial small subunit ribosomal RNA
Source: RNAcentral
AACGAACGCUGGCGGCAGGCCUGACACAUGCAAGUCGAGCGCCCGGAUUUAUCCGGGAGCGGCGCACGGGUGAGUAACGCGUGGGAACAUGCCCUGAAGUACGGAACAACCUGGGGAAACCUUGGCUAAUACCGUAUACGCCCUGAGGGGGAAAGAUUUAUCGCUUUGGGAUUGGCCCGCGUUGGAUUAGCUGGUUGGUGUGGUAACGGCGCACCAAGGCGACGAUCCAUAACUGGUCUGAGAGGAUGACCAGUCACACUGGGACUGAGACACGGCCCAGACUCCUACGGGAGGCAGCAGUGGGGAGUAUUGGACAAUGGGCGAAAGCCUGAUCCAGCCAUGCCGCGUGAGUGAAGAAGGCCUUCGGGUUGUAAAGCUCUUUCAGCGGGGACGAUGAUGACGGUACCCGCAGAAGAAGCCCCGGCUAACUUCGUGCCAGCCGCCGCAGUAA